Molecule: non-coding RNA, 73 nt
Organism: Musa acuminata subsp. malaccensis (wild Malaysian banana)
Lineage: Eukaryota; Viridiplantae; Streptophyta; Magnoliopsida; Zingiberales; Musaceae
Source: Rfam
GGGGGUGUAGCUCAUACGGUAGAGCGCUCGCUUUGCAUGCGAGAGGCACGGGGUUCGAUUCCCCGCACCUCCA